UUUUAAACAAAUAAAAUAAUUCAUUGAAUUAUUGUAGUAAAAGUGUACGGUCUUAGAAGUUAAUUUCGUGAAGUGUAAAAUGGGCAAAAACGUUCAGUUUUCUCGUGUAAUUGCACCUCAGGUUCAUCCUAUUAAUUUCCUUCUCGUCCCCGUGACAAAGAACGAUGUCUGAAAUGUAUCGCAGCUUGCGGAAAUUCGUCUCUACUUAAGCUUUCGUUGGAAAAGCUGAGAAAUAAAUAUGUUGGCCGAAAUCAUUUCUACGGCAAUCAAAUUCAUUAUAAACAUCUUUCAAAUUCAACAGUACCGAAUUUAAAUUUAUCUAAUCCGUUAGACAUUCAUGAUGUACAUAAAUCCUUCGAAAUUGGCAUAGAAGGUCCUGAUUUUUCUAUUAAUAUUGUAAAAGAAAAGGAAAAUAUUGAAAAUGUAACAUUGAAUAUGGAAAAUUUUGUUUAUAGUUCAGAAAUCGGACAAUCUUCAAAAACGAAGACAUCACAAAAACCGCUCAGAGACUUCAUUUUCCAAGAAACUAUCCCACCCUUACGUAAAUUUUAAGUUCCUGAUGUAUUCCUUUGUUUGAUUUUAUUCCUUCCUUUCUUUUCUCCUUUUUCUUCAUAAAUGUUAAUAGAAUGCCUUCCAAUCCUUAAUUUUUUUGA
Molecule: long non-coding RNA, 653 nt
Organism: Belonocnema kinseyi
Lineage: Eukaryota; Metazoa; Arthropoda; Insecta; Hymenoptera; Cynipidae
Exons: 4
Source: RefSeq, a predicted model, not a curated record